This 294-nucleotide ribosomal RNA is filed under the name uncultured bacterium. RNAcentral's name for it is "partial 16S ribosomal RNA". It matches the Rfam family "Bacterial small subunit ribosomal RNA", at positions 775 to 1067 of the family's 1533-position model. The record is from RNAcentral.
GGAUUAGAUACCCUGGUAGUCCAUGCCGUAAACGAUGUGUGCUAGACGUUGGAAAUAUAUUUUUCAGUGUCGCAGCGAAAGCAUUAAGCACACCGCCUGGGGAGUACGACCGCAAGGUUAAAACUCAAAUGAAUUGACGGGGACCCGCACAAGCAGUGGAGCAUGUGGUUUAAUUCGAAGAUACGCGCAGAACCUUACCAACACUUGACAUGUUCGUCGCGAGACCAAGAGAUUGGUUUCUUCAUUUAGUUGGACGAAACACAGGUGCUGCAUGGCUGUCGUCAGCUCGUGCCG